RNAcentral lists this ribosomal RNA (301 nucleotides) under uncultured bacterium. RNAcentral describes it as "partial 16S ribosomal RNA". It matches the Rfam family "Bacterial small subunit ribosomal RNA", at positions 509 to 807 of the family's 1533-position model. The record is from RNAcentral.
CAGUAGCCACGGUAAUACGUAGGGCGCAAGCGUUAUCCGGAAUUAUUGGGCGUAAAGAGCUCGUAGGCGGUUUGUCGCGUCUGCCGUGAAAGUCCGGGGCUCAACCCCGGAUCUGCGGUGGGUACGGGCAGACUAGAGUGAUGUAGGGGAGACUGGAAUUCCCGGUGUAGCGGUGAAAUGCGCAGAUAUCAGGAGGAACACCGAUGGCGAAGGCAGGUCUCUGGGCAUUAACUGACGCUGAGGAGCGAAAGCAUGGGGAGCGAACAGGAUUAGAUACCCCAGUAGUCCCUGUCUCUUAUAC